UUUCCGCCAGUCUGUGUUAGACGGGCCGCGAAAUUCUUAAAAAUUUAUCUAGCUUCGUACGGAUAUUUGUCAUGUUUUCAGAUGGAAAUGCACACAGUGGGCACCUAGAACACUGACCCAUGGUUGUUUGCUAUAAGAUUAGAGUCCAGUUCAUUGGCAUGUCAGUGUCAAUCUUCCCCAAACCAAAACAUUACUGACAGGUGUCAAUCAUUCCAUGACCUAUCUUCACCCUGUUGAUUGACUGUCCAGUGUCCUGCUGUUACUUGGAGCGGCAGAUGUCUUUGUAAAAACACUACAACACGGAGAUAACAUGACAGCAGGUAUGGUGGGUAUGCAGGACAGCUACACUGGGAUUCUCCAGAGAGAUAUUAGUGUAUAGCUCACCAUUCCUACACCUGGAUA
Long non-coding RNA from Lingula anatina, 402 nucleotides. Lineage: Eukaryota; Metazoa; Brachiopoda; Lingulata; Lingulida; Lingulidae. The record is from RefSeq and is a predicted model, not a curated record.